UCAUUUCAUUAUUUAAAAAGGUUUCUUUUGCUGCUGCUGACUCCUUCCUUCCCUCACAUGCUGCUUAUCUGGGUGAAGAAUCAUGGCUGGAAUUUAUAAAUGCUUCUCUGUUGUGCAAAGGAGCUUUGAUAGCAAGAAAAGAAUAACAGGACAAUGAUUGCUGUCUGAACAGGCUGGCCCUGUAGAGACAGGUUUCAAGUGGCAGCUGUGUGGGAUACAGGCAGCAUGUGGAAUACAGGGCUUGAAGGAUGCUCAGCACCCAACAUGACAAGAUUCUGUUUUUUUUUUUUGACUUUGGCUGGGCGCUUUGUCGGCAGUGCUUUCUCCCAGUGAAUGACGAGCAGGAGGAAAACCUGGAUAUCCAUCUUGCCAGGCUGCCACAGAGGGCCAGGCAGGCUGUGCUCAGUUGCUGUGCUCUGUGGUGCUCAGCCCCACCAGGGUCUGUCACCUCAUGCUUGGGCUGAGGCUAAGGCCAGGCUUAAAAUAUAUACCCCUUAGACACUGCCUUCUUAUCCAACCUGGUUUUUAAUUUUCUUUGCUGUAGUUUCAAUUGAGUUUGUCCAAAUGGUCAAAAAGCACUCCCAGGGGCUCCUUCAGGGGUUUCAGAUGGUUUAUUUUUGAAGAGUACUUUCUCACUCACAUUGACAUGAGACAUGCAAAGGUAAUGUGGUCCUCUUCCUUUCUGUCUUUUUUUUCCCCAGCAUGUAGGAACUCGUUAUCGGUUUCACUGUGCAGAUGAAACUAUGUCUUGAGCAACCUCUAUAAAUGUCACAGGAAUGGUUUUUUCUAGUGUUUACCAAGAACAUAUUAUGUUUUAGUGUCUCUAUCAUAAAUACCUUUUUGUUAAUUUUUCACCCUCACUAAAUCUAUUACAAGCUUUAAUCAACCUUUCUAAGCAGUAAUAAAAUGUUAUCAGCAGUUGGCAAAGAUCCUAAGUGACAGGCCCUAAUGUUUUCUAAUGAUUGUCAUUAUUUAAAAGGUGGUUUGUAGUUUUACAAAAAAUAAUUAGAUCUAUCACAUACAUUUGAAGAGAGGGGAGUGUUACUCCUUGGAUAGUUUACUCUCAAGAAUUGUAAUUUGUAAAUAAUUACUUAAAAAGAAAUAAACCCACAAGCUAGAGCUGAAUGGAAAUUCAAGAUCUAUUUAAGCAAAUGUAGGCAGAAGAGAGCAUGCUUUAUGCUUAAAAGGCAAGAUAUUCCUCAGGUGAAUGCAUACAGUUCAAAUUUUUCACCUACAGGUCAACAGGACCAGAAGUCUGAAUUUCUAAGUCUACAGCACCUUAUCAUCUUGCUACAUUGUUACAGACACAAAAAUAGGCUUUGUGAAACUAUUACUUUGUAUUAUGCAAAUUACUUUUCCUUUUAAGAAACAGUCAAUACUGUUUUACUUACAUGAAAUGUUUCUGCAACUGGAGAAGUGAAAGGUUUGAAAUAAAUGAAGGUGAGAAUUUCUGGUCUCCUUAAAGUUUAAAGAUUUUGGGUUUGUUUCUUUAAAUUUGUUUUAUUUUGUUUUGUUUGGUUAGGUUUGGUUUAUAAGGGAAUAUCAUCCAAACACUAUGAUCUGGAUGAAUUUCAGUAUUGAUGUAUUCAAACAAGAUACAUUUCCAUGAAUUCUCAAUGGUGUGACUAUAUUUUAGUUCUUACUGUCCUGAUCCAGGUUGUUGCUGAAUCUGGAGAAGAUGCAGCCCUAGGCUUAGUACGAGAUAAAUUUGGUAUGUGGUCCACAAGUGGUGUUCAGUCAGCCGUCCCACACCUCCUGUCUCAUCACUGUGAUGCAGCAGCUUCCUGCCUCCAGGUUCUGCUGUGUCCCUGAAGCCACAGAAGUUUUUACCGCACCCCUGGUACAGCCCUUGGGCUUUAAGAGGACCACAGCUGGGAUCUAUGCUUGGGCAGCAGUCCAAUGACAUCUUCUUCUUCCCUUUUUGUUUUCUCUCCUGUUGUAUGACCCCCAGAUGUGUGCCAGUAAAGAAAGGCCACCUAUUAAGCAGCACAGCAAACAAUCACAGUGAAUAAAUCUACAGUACUCCCAGAUACUUGCUGGUGUCACAAAACUGAAAUCCUCACCAGCACCAGGCUGGGAAUGUUUUAUAGUUUAAUGUUGUUUCAUGCCCAGUGAAUGCUCACUGCUGACCUGCUUUCAGAGGGUGUAAAAAACAUCUGUGCAGGUGUUUAGGUCUUAUGGAUGUGUUCCCAGAUGCAAGCACACACACACACAGAUCCAC
Molecule: long non-coding RNA, 2221 nt
Filed under: Taeniopygia guttata (zebra finch)
Lineage: Eukaryota; Metazoa; Chordata; Aves; Passeriformes; Estrildidae
Description: lncRNA (ENSTGUG00000022617.1)
Source: RNAcentral